UACGAAGGGGGCUAGCGUUGUUCGGAAUCACUGGGCGUAAAGGGCGCGUAGGCGGCUGUUCAAGUCGGGGGGGAAAUCCUGUGGCUCAACCACAGAAUGGCCUUCGAUACUGGACGGCUAGAGACCGGAAGAGGUGAGUGGAACUGCGAGUGUAGAGGUGAAAUUCGUAGAUAUUCGCAAGAACACCAGUGGCGAAGGCGGCUCACUGGUCCGGUUCUGACGCUGAGGCGCGAAAGCGUGGGGAGCAAACAGG
Molecule: ribosomal RNA, 253 nt
Filed under: uncultured bacterium
Lineage: Bacteria
Description: partial 16S ribosomal RNA
Rfam family: Bacterial small subunit ribosomal RNA
Source: RNAcentral